GUAACACUAACUGGAGGACCGAACCGACUAAUGUUGAAAAAUUAGCGGAUGACUUGUGGCUGGGGGUGAAAGGCCAAUCAAACCGGGAGAUAGCUGGUUCUCCCCGAAAGCUAUUUAGGUAGCGCCUUGUGAAUUCAUCUCCGGGGGUAGAGCACUGUUUCGGCAAGGGGGUCAUCCCGACUUACCAACCCGAUGCAAACUGCGAAUACCGGAGAAUGUUAUCACGGGAGACACACGGCGGG
RNAcentral lists this ribosomal RNA (242 nucleotides) under Escherichia coli. Its description in RNAcentral is "partial 23S ribosomal RNA". It matches the Rfam family "Bacterial large subunit ribosomal RNA", at positions 756 to 995 of the family's 2925-position model. Lineage: Bacteria; Pseudomonadati; Pseudomonadota; Gammaproteobacteria; Enterobacterales; Enterobacteriaceae. The record is from RNAcentral.